AGUGAACGCUGGCGGUAGGCCUAACACAUGCAAGUCGAACGGCAGCACAGUAAGAGCUUGCUCUUACGGGUGGCGAGUGGCGGACGGGUGAGGAAUACAUCGGAAUCUACUUUUUCGUGGGGGAUAACGUAGGGAAACUUACGCUAAUACCGCAUACGACCUACGGGUGAAAGCAGGGGAUCUUCGGACCUUGCGCGAUUGAAUGAGCCGAUGUCUGAUUAGCUAGUUGGCGGGGUAAAGGCCCACCAAGGGGACGAUCCGUAGCUGGUCUGAGAGGAUGGUCAGCCACACUGGAACGGAGACACGGUCCAGAGGCCUACGGGAGGCAGCAGUGGGGAAUAUUGGACAAUGGGCGCAAGCCUGAUCCAGCCAUACCGCGUGGGUGAAGAAGGCCUUCGGGUUGUAAAGCCCUUUUGUUGGGAAAGAAAAGCAGCAGGUUAAUACCCCGCUGUUCUGACGGUACCCAAAGAAUAAGCACCGGCUAACUUCGUG
RNAcentral lists this ribosomal RNA (492 nucleotides) under uncultured bacterium. RNAcentral describes it as "partial 16S ribosomal RNA". It matches the Rfam family "Bacterial small subunit ribosomal RNA", at positions 29 to 507 of the family's 1533-position model. The record is from RNAcentral.